UCUUUUCUAAGGCUGGAGUUGCUAACUAUAAGGUUCAGAAGUUGAAACAAUUUCGUUUAAGUCAAAACAUUCAACGUCCUACGAGGAAUAUUACAAAACCAAAGAGGUAUGUGACAACUUCAAGUCAGGACGAAGCACCGUCGUUAAAAAAGAAAAAAAA
Molecule: non-coding RNA, 160 nt
Organism: Linepithema humile (Argentine ant)
Lineage: Eukaryota; Metazoa; Arthropoda; Insecta; Hymenoptera; Formicidae
Source: RefSeq, a predicted model, not a curated record